GAUGAACGCUGGCGGCGUGCCUAAUACAUGCAAGUCGAACGCACAGCGAAAGGUGCUUGCACCUUUCAAGUGAGUGGCGAACGGGUGAGUAACACGUGGACAACCUGCCUCAAGGCUGGGGAUAACAUUUGGAAACAGAUGCUAAUACCGAAUGAAACUUAGUGUCGCAUGAUACGAAGUUAAAAGGCGCUUUGGCGUCACCUAGAGAUGGAUCCGCGGUGCAUUAGUUAGUUGGUGGGGUAAAGGCCUACCAAGACAAUGAUGCAUAGCCGAGUUGAGAGACUGAUCGGCCACAUUGGGACUGAGACACGGCCCAAACUCCUACGGGAGGCUGCAGUAGGGAAUCUUCCACAAUGGGCGAAGCCUGAUGGAGCAACGCCGCGUGUGUGAUGAAGGCUUUCGGGUCGUAAAGCACUGUUGUAUGGGAAGAACAGCUAGAAUAGGGAAUGAUUUUAGUUUGACGGUACCAUACCAGAAAGGGACGGCUAAAUACGUGCCAGCAGCCGCGGUAAUACGUAUGUCCCGAGCGUUAUCCGGAUUUAUUGGGCGUAAAGCGAGCGCAGACGGUUGAUUAAGUCUGAUGUGAAAGCCCGGAGCUCAACUCCGGAAUGGCAUUGGAAACUGGUUAACUUGAGUGCAGUAGAGGUAAGUGGAACUCCAUGUGUAGCGGUGGAAUGCGUAGAUAUAUGGAAGAACACCAGUGGCGAAGGCGGCUUACUGGACUGUAACUGACGUUGAGGCUCGAAAGUGUGGGUAGCAAACAGGAUUAGAUACCCUGGUAGUCCACACCGUAAACGAUGAACACUAGGUGUUAGGAGGUUUCCGCCUCUUAGUGCCGAAGCGAAGGCAUUAAGUGUUCCGCCUGGGGAGUACGACCGCAAGGUUGAAACUCAAAGGAAUUGACGGGGACCCGCACAAGCGGUGGAGCAUGUGGUUUAAUUCGAAGCAACGCGAAGAACCUUACCAGGUCUUGACAUCCUUUGAAGCUUUUAGAGAUAGAAGUGUUCUCUUCGGAGACAAAGUGACAGGUGGUGCAUGGUCGUCGUCAGCUCGUGUCGUGAGAUGUUGGGUUAAGUCCCGCAACGAGCGCAACCCUUAUUGUUAGUUGCCAGCAUUCAGAUGGGCACUCUAGCGAGACUGCCGGUGACAAACCGGAGGAAGGCGGGGACGACGUCAGAUCAUCAUGCCCCUUAUGACCUGGGCUACACACGUGCUACAAUGGCGUAUACAACGAGUUGCCAACCCGCGAGGGUGAGCUAAUCUCUUAAAGUACGUCUCAGUUCGGAUUGUAGUCUGCAACUCGACUACAUGAAGUCGGAAUCGCUAGUAAUCGCGGAUCAGCACGCCGCGGUGAAUACGUUCCCGGGUCUUGUACACACCGCCCGUCACACCAUGGGAGUUUGUAAUGCCCAAAGCCGGUGGCCUAACCUUUUAGGAAGGAGCCGUCUAAGGCAGGACAGAUGACUGGGGUGAAGUCGUAACAAGGU
Molecule: ribosomal RNA, 1487 nt
Filed under: Leuconostoc pseudomesenteroides
Lineage: Bacteria; Bacillati; Bacillota; Bacilli; Lactobacillales; Lactobacillaceae
Description: bacterial SSU rRNA
Rfam family: Bacterial small subunit ribosomal RNA
Source: RNAcentral